RNAcentral lists this long non-coding RNA (503 nucleotides) under Linum usitatissimum (flax). RNAcentral describes it as "long non-coding RNA (LUSI_LNC002123)". The record is from RNAcentral. Lineage: Eukaryota; Viridiplantae; Streptophyta; Magnoliopsida; Malpighiales; Linaceae.
GCUACUAGAGCUUCUGACGGGGAGGAGAGCAGCGGGGACCCCAGAACUGGCGAAAUGGGUGGUCCCGUUGAUGAAAGAGUCGAUGUUCAGCGAAAUUUUGGAUCCGAGACUCGUCGUGAGGACUAGUGAUGUGAAUGUGGUUGUCAGGUUGUGUAAAGUUGCUUCGGCUUGUGUUAGUAACUGUAGGAUGAGUCGUCCGACGAUCGUUCAGGUGGCCGCCAUUCUCAACUGUCUUGAGAGGGAUUCUUCUUCUUAGCUAUUGCUUUUAGAGGGUAUUUUGGUAGUUUCCCUUGAGUGAUUGGUUAAUGGGUUUGCCCCAUCUUACUAGGCCCAAAAUAAUUAUGUCAUCCGGUUAGUUCGGUAGUUAGCUACGUGGUUAUUCUCUCUAGUUCGAUAGCCAGCUUCAUUAGUUCGAUCAUUUCUGAAGAUCUGAUGGUGGAAAAAUCUUCUUAUGGACGGCUCAUAUUAUUUCUGAAAAUCAUAAAUGAGGAGAAUCUUUCUCA